RNAcentral lists this transfer RNA (73 nucleotides) under Deltaproteobacteria bacterium. RNAcentral describes it as "tRNA-Ala". It matches the Rfam family "tRNA". Rfam says of the family: Transfer RNA (tRNA) molecules are approximately 80 nucleotides in length. Lineage: Bacteria; Pseudomonadati; Myxococcota; Myxococcia. RNAcentral also lists the same sequence under 1 other name. The record is from RNAcentral.
GGGGCUGUAGCUCAGUUGGGAGAGCGUCUGAAUGGCAUUCAGAAGGUCGUCGGUUCGAUCCCGAUCAGCUCCA